Non-coding RNA from Salmo salar (Atlantic salmon), 54 nucleotides. The record is from Rfam. NCBI's taxonomy places the organism in Eukaryota, Metazoa, Chordata, Actinopteri, Salmoniformes, Salmonidae.
UGCACUCACUACUGUAAGUUGCUCUGGAUAAGAGCAUCUGCUGAAUAUCUAAAA